AUUGAACGCUGGCGGCAGGCUUAACACAUGCAAGUCGAGCGGGGUGAUGGUGCUUGCACUAUCACUUAGCGGCGGACGGGUGAGUAAUGCUUAGGAAUCUGCCUAUUAGUGGGGGACAACAUCUCGAAAGGGAUGCUAAUACCGCAUACGUCCUACGCGAGAAAGCAGGGGAUCACUUGUGACCUUGCGCUAAUAGAUGAGUCUAAGGUCGAUUAGCUAGUUGGUGGGGUAAAGGCCUACCAAGGCGACGAUCUGUAGCGGGUCUGAGAGGAUGAUCCGCCACACUGGGACUGAGACACGGCCCAGACUCCUACGGGAGGCAGCAGUGGGGAAUAUUGGACAAUGGGGGGAACCCUGAUCCAGCCAUGCCGCGUGUGUGAAGAAGGCCUUAUGGUUGUAAAGCACUUUAAGCGAGGAGGAGGCUCUUUUGGUUAAUACCCAAGAUGAGUGGACGUUACUCGCAGAAUAAGCACCGGCUAACUCUGUGCCAGCCGCCGCGGUAA
Molecule: ribosomal RNA, 503 nt
Filed under: uncultured bacterium
Lineage: Bacteria
Description: partial 16S ribosomal RNA
Rfam family: Bacterial small subunit ribosomal RNA
Source: RNAcentral